This 301-nucleotide ribosomal RNA is filed under the name uncultured bacterium. RNAcentral's name for it is "partial 16S ribosomal RNA". It matches the Rfam family "Bacterial small subunit ribosomal RNA", at positions 509 to 809 of the family's 1533-position model. The record is from RNAcentral.
CAGCAGCCGCGGUAAUACGAAGGGUGCAAGCGUUAAUCGGAGUUACUGGGCGUAAAGCGUGCGUAGGCGGUUUGUUAAGUCUGUUGUGAAAUCCCCGGGCUCAACCUGGGAAUGGCAAUGGAUACUGGCAAGCUAGAGUGUGUCAGAGGAUGGUGGAAUUCCCGGUGUAGCGGUGAAAUGCGUAGAGAUCGGGAGGAACAUCAGUGGCGAAGGCGGCCAUCUGGGACAACACUGACGCUGAGGCACGAAAGCGUGGGGAGCAAACAGGAUUAGAUACCCCCGUAGUCCCUGUCUCUUAUAA